Long non-coding RNA from Dermacentor silvarum, 285 nucleotides. RefSeq lists it as uncharacterized. The transcript is spliced from 2 exons. The record is from RefSeq and is a predicted model, not a curated record. NCBI's taxonomy places the organism in Eukaryota, Metazoa, Arthropoda, Arachnida, Ixodida, Ixodidae.
AUGGCUGCGCGCGCGUUUGAGCGCUCGCGCGCGGCGACCCGUCUGUCCCCUUCUUUUUUUUUUAAAUGUAACCUGGUUUAUUGGGCUCUCGGCGUAUUCUUGCGUUCCUUCUGCACUGGGACAAGACACCACUGCACUAUUGGACUACGGCAAGCUGGUGCCGUCCGGUGGAGCUUCAUACCGGAACUGCCUUACCUGCUGGGGUCACAACGUUGGAUGAACGCACAAAAAGCGCGGAACGAGCUUUUAUAUAGAGCAAAAUAAAUAUUUCCUCAUUGCACAAAA